This 434-nucleotide small RNA is filed under the name Pongo abelii (Sumatran orangutan). RNAcentral's name for it is "retained intron". The record is from RNAcentral. Lineage: Eukaryota; Metazoa; Chordata; Mammalia; Primates; Hominidae.
ACACCUCUGCCUUCCUUCCAAGCACAGGACGAGGGGAUCCUGCCCUCGGGCAGACGGGGCACGGCGAGAGGUCCUGCCAGAUAAGCUCUAGGGGGCUCAGGCCACCCUCCCUGCCACGUGGAGACGCAGAGGCCGAACCCAAACUGGGGCCACCUCUGUACCCUCACUUCAGGGCACCUGAGCCACCCUCAGCAGGAGCUAGGGUGGCCACUGAGCUCCAACGGCCAUAACAGCUCUGACUCCCACGUGAGGCCACCUUUGGGUGCACCCCAGUGGGUGUGUGUGUGUGUGUGUGUGUGUGUGUGUGUGUGUGAGGGUUGGUUGAGUUGCCUAGAACCCCUGCCAGGGCUGGGGGUGAGAAGGGGAGUCAUUACUCCCCACUACCUAGGGCCCCUCCAAAAGAGUCCUUUUAAAUAAAUGAGCUAUAUAGGUGC